Molecule: ribosomal RNA, 675 nt
Filed under: Pseudovibrio sp.
Lineage: Bacteria; Pseudomonadati; Pseudomonadota; Alphaproteobacteria; Hyphomicrobiales; Stappiaceae
Description: bacterial SSU rRNA
Rfam family: Bacterial small subunit ribosomal RNA
Source: RNAcentral
CAGAMCGAACGCUGGCGGCAGGCCUAACACAUGCAAGUCGAACGGAUCCUUCGGGAUUAGUGGCAGACGGGUGAGUAACGCGUGGGAAGCUACCUUGUGGUAGGGAACAACAGUUGGAACGACUGCUAAUACCCUAUGAGCCCCUAUGGGGGAAAGAUUUAUCGCCAUGAGAUGUGCCCGCGUUAGAUUAGCUAGUUGGUAAGGUAAUGGCUUACCAAGGCGACGAUCUAUAGCUGGUCUGAGAGGAUGAUCAGCCACACUGGGACUGAGACACGGCCCAGACUCCUACGGGAGGCAGCAGUGGGGAAUAUUGGACAAUGGGGGCAACCCUGAUCCAGCCAUGCCGCGUGAGUGAUGACGGCCUUAGGGUUGUAAAGCUCUUUCAGCAGUGAAGAUAAUGACAUUAACUGCAGAAGAAGCCCCGGCUAACUUCGUGCCAGCAGCCGCGGUAAUACGAAGGGGGCUAGCGUUGUUCGGAAUCACUGGGCGUAAAGCGUACGUAGGCGGACUGAUCAGUCAGGGGUGAAAUCCCGGGGCUCAACCCCGGAACUGCCUUUGAUACUGUCAGUCUUGAGAUCGAGAGAGGUGAGUGGAACUCCGAGUGUAGAGGUGAAAUUCGUAGAUAUUCGGAAGAACACCAGUGGCGAAGGCGGCUCACUGGCUCGAAUACUGACG